RNAcentral lists this ribosomal RNA (497 nucleotides) under uncultured bacterium. Its description in RNAcentral is "partial 16S ribosomal RNA". It matches the Rfam family "Bacterial small subunit ribosomal RNA", at positions 28 to 507 of the family's 1533-position model. The record is from RNAcentral.
GGUGAACGCUGGCGGCGUGCCUAAUACAUGCAAGUCGAGCGAACAGACGAGGAGCUUGCUCCUCUGACGUUAGCGGCGGACGGGUGAGUAACACGUGGAUAACCUACCUAUAAGACUGGGAUAACUUCGGGAAACCGUAGCUAAUACCGGAUAAUAUAUUGAACCGCAUGGUUCAAUAGUGUAAGAUGGUUUUGCUGUCACUUAUAGAUGGAUCCGCGCCGCAUUAGCUAGUUGGUAAGGUAACGGCCUACCAAGGCAACGAUGCGUAGCCGACCUGAGAGGGUGAUCGGCCACACUGGAACUGAGACACGGUCCAGACUCCUACGGGAGGCAGCAGUAGGGAAUCUUCCGCGAUGGGCGGAAGCCUGACGGAGCAACGCCGCGUGAGUGAUGAAGGUCUUCGGAUCGUAAAACUCUGUUAUUAGGGAAGAACAAAUGUGUAAGUAACUAUGCACGUCUUGACGGUACCUAAACAGAAAGCCACGGCUAACUACGUG